AGAAUCAUUAAAGAAUAUUUAUUUAUGAUGUCAGAAUAUUGGUGAGUUUUAACAUCGCUAUGCAAGGAAACACAGAGCAGCCACACUAACCGAAAAUCAUAGGCUUAAAUUAAUUUCGAACAAUUUGCUGCAAUCUAGGGAGUUUCUUUAAACUAUCAUUUUAGCAGUUACGAUUUCAGCAAACCAGUGAGUUUCUUUUAACUAUCUUAUAUAUUUCUUUUUUGUAUGAAAGUAUUUCUUCAAGGUUCAAAAUCUAUUUUAGAUUUAUACUUUAUAAU
Non-coding RNA from Hydra vulgaris (swiftwater hydra), 278 nucleotides. The record is from RefSeq and is a predicted model, not a curated record. Lineage: Eukaryota; Metazoa; Cnidaria; Hydrozoa; Anthoathecata; Hydridae.